CGCUCGUUACCGAACGACUGCCGUCGUCGCUUCGGGCGUCGUCCGAUCCUUCGGGUUCGAACGUGCCCGUGCCGCGCCGGCGUCGGUGAGGAAUGC
RNAcentral lists this unclassified non-coding RNA (96 nucleotides) under Guettarda scabra. RNAcentral's name for it is "partial external transcribed spacer". The record is from RNAcentral. Lineage: Eukaryota; Viridiplantae; Streptophyta; Magnoliopsida; Gentianales; Rubiaceae.